RNAcentral lists this small RNA (1916 nucleotides) under Pan troglodytes (chimpanzee). RNAcentral's name for it is "retained intron". Lineage: Eukaryota; Metazoa; Chordata; Mammalia; Primates; Hominidae. The record is from RNAcentral.
GCGGCUUAGGUGGCGGCGGCGAAGGAUGCACCCGGCAGGCUUGGCGGCGGCGGCUGCGGGGACGCCCCGGCUGCCCUCGAAGCGGAGGAUCCCUGUGUCCCAGCCGGGCAUGGCCGACCCCCACCAGCUUUUUGAUGACACAAGUUCAGCCCAGAGCCGGGGCUAUGGGGCCCAGCGGGCACCUGGUGGCCUAGGCUAUCCUGCAGCCUCUCCCACGCCCCAAGCAGCCUUCCUGGCUGACCCGGUGUCCAACAUGGCCAUGGCCUAUGGGAGCAGCCUGGCCGCGCAGGGCAAGGAGCUGGUGGAUAAGAACGUGAGUGGGCGGGGCUGGUGGGAGUGGGGGGAUGCACGGGGCCACAGGGCUUCAGACUUGAGCUCUGCCUCCCCAGAUCGACCGCUUCAUCCCCAUCACCAAGCUCAAGUAUUACUUUGCUGUGGACACCAUGUAUGUGGGCAGAAAGCUGGGCCUGCUGUUCUUCCCCUACCUACACCAGGUCAGCACCCCCAGGGGAAUGUGGGUCUGCAGUGGGCCUGUGGGGGCUCAGGGGUGGGGGCAGGUGCAUGGUGGAGCCGGGAGAUUCGCCUCGAGGGAGGAGGGCCUGUAGCAGGGUGGGAGGGGCCUGGCUCUGAGGGUCCUGCCCGUCUCCCCAUCCCCGCAGGACUGGGAGGUGCAGUACCAACAGGACACCCCGGUGGCCCCCCGCUUUGACGUCAAUGCCCCGGACCUCUACAUUCCAGGUUUCACCCUCCCCCUACCCUGCACCCUCCUCUCUCUUCCGGGCCUAUGUGGAGCGGGUGUGUGGGUGCCUGGAGGCCCAGGGCAGUUCUUCCUCUGGUGACCAGUGUAUGUGUGUCUGUCUCCCACAGCAAUGGCUUUCAUCACCUACGUUUUGGUGGCUGGUCUUGCGCUGGGGACCCAGGAUAGGUUCUCCCCAGACCUCCUGGGGCUGCAAGCGAGCUCAGCCCUGGCCUGGCUGACCCUGGAGGUGCUGGCCAUCCUGCUCAGCCUCUAUCUGGUCACUGUCAACACCGACCUCACCACCAUCGACCUGGUGGCCUUCUUGGGCUACAAAUAUGUCGGGUGAGUACCCCCGCCCUUCACGCCAGCCCCAGCCCUUGGGCCUUGCCCUCACACAGCCUCCUCUCCCUCCCCCAGGAUGAUUGGCGGGGUCCUCAUGGGCCUGCUCUUCGGGAAGAUUGGCUACUACCUGGUGCUGGGCUGGUGCUGCGUGGCCAUCUUUGUGUUCAUGGUGAGCUGGGCUCGGGGCUGGUGAGGCUGAGGCACAGGUGCCCCGGAGGCAUCCAGGCAUCCAAGCAGAGGAUGUCAGGUGUGGGGUUCAGACCAGAGACACAUUGCUGAACUGAGGAGCCCUGGAGUGGCUGCCCGGCCUGGGGGGUCAGGAGGGCUUCCUGGAAGAGGGGGUAUCCUGAGCCCUGGAAGAGGAGACGCCAGCCAGGCUGCUAGAGGCUGGGGAUCCCCAGCACACAGGCUCCAGGCUGGGCUCUCACUCUCAUUCCACUCUCCUUACAUGGGGGCCUUCCUGCCAGAAUUUCCCUGGAAGGAGAUUCUCUAGAGCCCUUCCCGCUGGAGUCAGGGGUGCUGGUGAAGAGCACUGGGGUCUGCAGGCUGGGUGGACCCCAAGCUUAGUUGGAUCCUGGGCAAAUCACUUCCUUUCUUUAAAUUCAGUGUCCCCUUUUGCCGGGCGCGGUGGCUCAUGCUUGUAAUCCCAGCACUUUGGGAGGCCGAGGCGGUCGGAUCACGAGGUCAGGCGAUCGAGACAAUCCUGGCUAACAUGGUGAAACCCCAUCUCUACUAAAAAUACAAAAAAUUAGCUGGGUGUGGUGGUGUGUGCCUGUAGUCCCAGCUACUCAGGAGGCUGAGGCAGGAGAAUCGCUUGAACCCAGGGGGUGGAGGU